RNAcentral lists this ribosomal RNA (301 nucleotides) under uncultured bacterium. Its description in RNAcentral is "partial 16S ribosomal RNA". It matches the Rfam family "Bacterial small subunit ribosomal RNA", at positions 509 to 807 of the family's 1533-position model. The record is from RNAcentral.
CAGCCGCCGCGGGAAUACAGAGGGUGCGAGCGUUAAUCGGAUUUACUGGGCGUAAAGCGUGCGUAGGCGGCUUCUUAAGUCGGAUGUGAAAUCCCUGAGCUUAACUUAGGAAUUGCAUUCGAUACUGGGAAGCUAGAGUAUGGGAGAGGAUGGUAGAAUUCCAGGUGUAGCGGUGAAAUGCGUAGAGAUCUGGAGGAAUACCGAUGGCGAAGGCAGCCAUCUGGCCUAAUACUGACGCUGAGGUACGAAAGCAUGGGGAGCAAACAGGAUUAGAGACCCCAGUAGUCCCUGUCUCUUAUAC